Molecule: transfer RNA, 69 nt
Filed under: human gut metagenome
Also listed under: 1 other name
Rfam family: tRNA
About the family: Transfer RNA (tRNA) molecules are approximately 80 nucleotides in length. Their secondary structure includes four short double-helical elements and three loops (D, anti-codon, and T loops).
Source: RNAcentral
CGAGAUAGCUCAAUUGGUAGAGCACUCGCCUUGUAAGCGAAAGGUUGUGGGUUCAAGUCCCAUUCUCGG